UGAGGAAGUGAGUCAAAGGAUCAGGCCGGGCGAUCAUCUGAGCUGACGCUGUUUUUUUGCGGGGAAUUUUCUUGCUCAAGAACACGUGGCAACUUGGUGACACAGCCGGGUCAAGAGCUCAAAUCUUCUGACUCUCAUUCUGGUGCCUUUCUCUGUGACCACCAUUUGUGACCGUCCCCUGCUUGCCCUCUGUGGCUCUGGCUCUGCCCCAUCCAUCAAACCUUCUGCCUCCUCUAGGGAGCCUCCCUGAUUGCUACCCAGGAAGCCUUCUCCCCCUCCCACAGUUUGCUGAUAGGAACUAAGAGAGUGAACAUUUUCUGUGUGCUAGGUACACUCCUAAAAACCACAGAAUAAGCCCAUUAUCCCAUUUUACAGAAAAGGAGCCUGAGACUUUGAGACAUGAAGUGAUUUCCCCAAGGGAACCAAUGGCUGGCAGUGGGAGCCCCAGUCCAGGCCACUGGCUUUGGAGCCCUUGUCCUUGGCCGUCUCUCCUCUGUUCUACCUCUUCCUGGGACAGCUGCCAGAACCCGUUGAGGACAAAGAACCGGUGUGGCCUGAUGCUUCCAGAAGAGGAAGGAGUCCUUCAUCAUUGGGCCUGUGGACCCUGGGGUCUCUAGGAUGGUAAAAAUUAGCCCUACAACAUACCCGGCCCCCGGCCAUUCCUGUCCCCCUUAGUCAUCGAUACAGGUUGAGGUAGGGAUUCUUCGUCAUGUUUCUCAAAGGCAGAAACAAGGCUCAGAAAGUCACCUGGCCAAGGAUUCCAUCAAGCCUUGGUCUGCCUGGCCCUCACCUGUGCUCUUUCCUUCAUAUCCUGGUGCCCUCCAAGAAGAAGGCCUCCCAGAGUGCCCCGGUGGGCCUGGGCCCUGUUGCCGUGUAGCAGAGGGAGCCGUGGCACUCCAGCAUCCUGGGGCUAAGGGGAAUCCGAGGCUCUGGGCGGGAGCGCCCUCCCCCAGCCUUCUUCAGCUCUUUUUCUGUUGUUUCUCUGCUCAGCCGGGCCCUGUUAUCUUCCGCUGAGUCUGACGCCUAGUUCUUCCUGUUU
This 1039-nucleotide long non-coding RNA is filed under the name Felis catus (domestic cat). RNAcentral describes it as "lncRNA (ENSFCAG00000048901.1)". Lineage: Eukaryota; Metazoa; Chordata; Mammalia; Carnivora; Felidae. The record is from RNAcentral.